UGGGGACCACCGGCUCUCAGCAUUACGUUGUGGGCAUCUCUUUGGGUAUAGGUGCAUUUCCACGUGGCUUAAAGGACAAGUACGAAAAUGUCCCCAGGUAAGGACACAUUAACAUGUUAAGUCAGGCAGAUUCCUAGAACCACUCUAAUUAUGUCCUAUUGGGUUCUUUAGUGCAACAAGAAAGCCAGGCACAGUGACAUUGUCGUCCUUUAUGCCCGAACCCUGAGAGCUUUGGACACUAGUGAACAGGAGCGCAUGAAAAGGUAGGUGGUAAGAGUAUGCCUGGCUGGAAUGUUCCCUUUUGGUUCAUUGUAGGCACAUCUGAAAAAGAAGUUAUGAGUCACUCGUAGUGAGGUUUUACUUGACCUGUGACUUGGGAUCUCUGGGGAUCAUUGGCAGUCUGUCUUACACUGUUAUUUAUAAUUCAUGUCUGAUCAUCUUCUUAAGGAAGUCUGCAUCGUUUGCCUUAUGUAGAGCAUUAAACACAAGGAUCUGGCACAUUACUUCUGUUGCCAUUUUUGCUUCUCAUAUCCCUGACCACCCCCCACCCACAGCAGUUCUCCAUACAGAAAACUCAUAAGUGAAGCUUUGCACAUGCAGUGCAAUGUAAAAAAUUACCAGGAUUUCGGAAGCACAAAACAGUUGCU
This 647-nucleotide small RNA is filed under the name Pan troglodytes (chimpanzee). Its description in RNAcentral is "retained intron". Lineage: Eukaryota; Metazoa; Chordata; Mammalia; Primates; Hominidae. The record is from RNAcentral.